AAAAAAGGUAAGCUACUAAGAGCGAAUGGUGGAUGCCUUGACUGGUAAAGGCGAUGAAGGACGUACUAGACUGCGAUAAGCUACGGGGAGCUGUCAAGAAGCUUUGAUCCGUAGAUUUCCGAAUGGGGCAACCCAAUGUAUAGAGAUAUACAUUACCUAUAUAGGAGCGAACGAGGGGAAUUGAAACAUCUUAGUACCCUCAGGAAAAGAAAUCAAUAGAGAUUGCGUCAGUAGCGGCGAGCGAAAGCGCAAGAGGGCAAACCCAGUGCUUGCACUGGGGGUUGUAGGACUGCAAUGUGCAAGAGGUAAGUUUAGCAGAACAUUCUGGAAAGUAUAGCCAUAGAGGGUGAUAGUCCCGUAUGCGAAAAACAAACCUUAGCUAGCAGUAUCCUGAGUAGGGCGGGACACGAGAAAUCCUGUCUGAAGCUGGGUCGACCACGAUCCAACCCUAAAUACUAAUACCAGAUCGAUAGUGCACAAGUACCGUGAGGGAAAGGUGAAAAGAACUGAGGUGAUCAGAGUGAAAUAGAACCUGAAACCAUUUGCUUACAAUCAUUCAGAGCCCUAUGUAGCAAUACAGGGUGAUGGACUGCCUUUUGCAUAAUGAGCCUGCGAGUUGUGGUGUCUGGCAAGGUUAAGCAAACGCGAAGCCGUAGCGAAAGCGAGUCUGAAUAGGGCGCUUAGUCAGAUGCUGCAGACCCGAAACGAAGUGAUCUAUCCAUGAGCAAGUUGAAGCUAGUGUAAGAACUAGUGGAGGACUGAACCCAUAGGCGUUGAAAAGCCCCGGGAUGACUUGUGGAUAGGGGUGAAAGGCCAAUCAAACUUCGUGAUAGCUGGUUCUCUCCGAAAUAUAUUUAGGUAUAGCGUUGUGUCGUAAUAUAAGGGGGUAGAGCACUGAAUGGGCUAGGGCAUACACCAAUGUACCAAACCCUAUCAAACUCCGAAUACCUUAUAUGUAAUCACAGCAGUCAGGCGGCGAGUGAUAAAAUCCGUCGUCAAGAGGGAAACAACCCAGACUACCAGCUAAGGUCCCUAAAUCUUACUUAAGUGGAAAACGAUGUGAAGUUACUUAAACAACCAGGAGGUUGGCUUAGAAGCAGCCAUCCUUUAAAGAAAGCGUAAUAGCUCACUGGUCUAGUGAUUUUGCGCGGAAAAUAUAACGGGGCUAAAGUAAGUACCGAAGCUGUAGACUUGCGCACAACUUAGAUUAUUUAAGUUUAGAAUAUGAGAAACUAAGUUAUAUGUUUAGUUAUAUUUUUACUGAUUUUUAUAGAGUAAAGAUAGAAAUAAAACUUAGUAAAAUCAGUAAAAAUAUUCUUAGACUAAAGUUAAGUAGUUUAAGUUGUGUGCAAGUGGUAGGAGAGCGUUCUAUUUGCGUCGAAGGUAUACCGGUAAGGAGUGCUGGAGCGAAUAGAAGUGAGCAUGCAGGCAUGAGUAGCGAUAAUUAAUGUGAGAAUCAUUAACGCCGUAAACCCAAGGUUUCCUACGCGAUGCUCGUCAUCGUAGGGUUAGUCGGGUCCUAAGUCGAGUCCGAAAGGGGUAGACGAUGGCAAAUUGGUUAAUAUUCCAAUACCAACAUUAGUGUGCGAUGGAAGGACGCUUAGGGCUAAGGGGGCUAGCGGAUGGAAGUGCUAGUCUAAGGUCGUAGGAGGUUAUACAGGCAAAUCCGUAUAACAAUACUCCGAGAACUGAAAGGCUUUUUGAAGUCUUCGGAUGGAUAGAAGAACCCCUGAUGCCGUCGAGCCAAGAAAAGUUUCUAAGUUUAGCUAAUGUUGCCCGUACCGUAAACCGACACAGGUGGGUGGGAUGAGUAUUCUAAGGCGCGUGGAAGAACUCUCUUUAAGGAACUCUGCAAAAUAGCACCGUA
RNAcentral lists this ribosomal RNA (1867 nucleotides) under Campylobacter coli. Its description in RNAcentral is "partial 23S ribosomal RNA". It matches the Rfam family "Bacterial large subunit ribosomal RNA", at positions 1 to 1732 of the family's 2925-position model. The record is from RNAcentral. Lineage: Bacteria; Pseudomonadati; Campylobacterota; Epsilonproteobacteria; Campylobacterales; Campylobacteraceae.